GAUGGUAUAGCUCAGUGGUAGAGUGCAUGCCAAGCAUGCAGGAGGUCCUGGGUUCAAUUCCCAGUACCUCUG
RNAcentral lists this transfer RNA (72 nucleotides) under Camelus bactrianus (Bactrian camel). It matches the Rfam family "tRNA". Rfam says of the family: Transfer RNA (tRNA) molecules are approximately 80 nucleotides in length. RNAcentral also lists the same sequence under 2 other names. The record is from Rfam by way of RNAcentral. Lineage: Eukaryota; Metazoa; Chordata; Mammalia; Artiodactyla; Camelidae.